This 448-nucleotide ribosomal RNA is filed under the name uncultured bacterium. RNAcentral's name for it is "bacterial SSU rRNA". It matches the Rfam family "Bacterial small subunit ribosomal RNA", at positions 329 to 794 of the family's 1533-position model. The record is from RNAcentral.
GACCAGACUCCUACGGGAGGCAGCAGUGGGGAAUAUUGCACAAUGGGGGAAACCCUGAUGCAGCGACGCCGCGUGAGUGAAGAAGUAUUUCGGUAUGUAAAGCUCUAUCAGCAGGGAAGAAAAUGACGGUACCUGACUAAGAAGCUCCGGCUAAAUACGUGCCAGCAGCCGCGGUAAUACGUAUGGAGCAAGCGUUAUCCGGAUUUACUGGGUGUAAAGGGAGCGCAGGCGGUACGGCAAGUCCGAUGUGAAAGCCCGGGGCUCAACCCCGGGACUGCAUUGGAAACUGCCGCACUAGAGUGCCGGAGAGGUAAGUGGAAUUCCUAGUGUAGCGGUGAAAUGCGUAGAUAUUAGGAGGAACACCAGUGGCGAAGGCGGCUUACUGGACGGUAACUGACGCUGAGGCUCGAAAGCGUGGGGAGCAAACAGGAUUAGAUACCCUAGUAAA